AGCUUUUCGAAUCCGUGCUGAGACUUCGUCAGACACCAACCCAUUAUGGUUGGUCAGACUUCCAAGAUAAGUGAAGUU
Molecule: non-coding RNA, 78 nt
Organism: Schistosoma haematobium
Lineage: Eukaryota; Metazoa; Platyhelminthes; Trematoda; Strigeidida; Schistosomatidae
Source: Rfam